This is a long non-coding RNA of Oxyura jamaicensis (ruddy duck), 1400 nucleotides long. RefSeq lists it as uncharacterized. The record is from RefSeq and is a predicted model, not a curated record. NCBI's taxonomy places the organism in Eukaryota, Metazoa, Chordata, Aves, Anseriformes, Anatidae. The transcript has 3 exons.
GCUGAGACUAGCUGAGAGUACUGGCUGCUAAUUCCCCACUGAAUGCUGCAGCCGUCAUCAAGCAGAGCUCUGAAAUAUGGGCAUCGUCUUGCAUUUGCAUCCCGCGUUCAUGAGGUCUAGUCCUUACAAGUUUCCAUCUUCGGGGCAGCACAGAGGACAUCUUUUGCUGGUAUAUCGCAUUCCCUGAACAGGAAGUGAACACACCCUUGUCCCAUCCGAAGCAGGGACGCAGCAACCCCUUUGCAGACCCAAGGUGGUAUCUGUGCUGCUUUUCCCUUCCUUCCUAACUCACGGGCUGGAUGCGGUCACCCCUUCAGGCACGCAGGCACCCUGAACGUGCUUCUCACAGGGACCCCUUUGUUCUCGUGCCGAUCUCUAGCAAAUCUUGAAAACCUGCCAGCGCCACCACAGCACCACGAGCCCUGGCACCCCUGGCAGUGACACGGCAAGCUCGGCAGGCUGCUGCUGCGCCUUUGUUACCGCGGGAAGAGGCGUGCAGGCUCUCCUUCUUUGGAAGCAUGGCUCUGCUCCACAUCCCCGCGCUGCUCUGCCCUCCGUGUGGAGGGUUGAACCGAGCUGCGUGGCCGUGUCCUACGUCACUUGUUUUUAAGAAGCUCCUGCCAGCUUCCUGCUGGGGAGCUGAUCCUGCUGACGUGUGUGGCCAGGCCACGUCAGGCGCAGCCGGGAAGGGAAAUACAGUCCUUUUUUGGGCUCAGGCUACAGCGAAAUCUAUUGGCCCGAGCAGAGGAGAGGGCUGAGAUUCGGGAACAGCUGGGCUCUGUCACUAAUUUAGCACUAAGAGCUUAAACAAUGCCCAGGAUAAACACACGCCAGGACUGGCAGAUCUCCCUCUUUUUCUCAGCUCAGCACAAUAUUUUCCUUUCUCUUUUAAAAAUGUUAUUUCACUGCUGAUAAUUAAUUCGAGUGGAAUGCUCUCCCAGGGUUAUAUUUAGAUUUUCUUCUCCGACGGCACUCCCCCGUUCCAACUUGUGUGAUGCAGCUGUAUCGCUGUGGGUUUUGAAAUGGAAACAAUCAGUCCACUUGUACAAAACUUAGCAGUUUCGUGUCCCAAGGCAGCACCUGAACUGUGGCACUUUUGGGGAUUCAAAAAGGCUGCACGUUGCAGGGGGGAACUAGCACAGCUGAACCAAAAUACAACUGCAGCUUGGAAUGGGGGCUUUUGGGUGCCUGAAAAAGGGGGAAGAAACCAGCCCUGGAUCAGAGCACGCUGAAAGCGGUGUGUUAUUUGGAGUUGGUUAUUCAUGUGCAUGCACAUUUGGAAAUCUGGACACUUUACAGCAAGUCUCUAAGGUAGAUUUAUGUCAAAUCUCCACCUGACAGCUCCUCAGCUUCAGGGAAAACUCCAAGCUAGGCUCAGAAUCCAUAGGAAGCCCCCCAGA